AUACGGAGGGUGCAAGCGUUGUUCGGAAUUAUUGGGCGUAAAGCGCGUGUAGGCGGUAGGGUAAGUCAGAUGUGAAAGCCCUGGGCUCAACCCAGGAAGUGCAUUUGAAACUGCUCUGCUAGAGUGAGGGAGAGGAAAGUGGAAUUCCUGGUGUAGAGGUGAAAUUCGUAGAUAUCAGGAGGAACACCGGUGGCGAAGGCGGCUUUCUGGCCCUUCACUGACGCUGAGACGCGAGAGCGUGGGGAGCAAACAGGAUUAGAUACCCUGGUAGUCCACGCUGUAAACGAUGUUCACUAGGUGUUGGGGGUAUUGACCCCUUCAGUGCCGUAGCUAACGCAUUAAGUGAACCGCCUGGGGAGUACGGUCGCAAGAUUAAA
Molecule: ribosomal RNA, 377 nt
Filed under: uncultured bacterium
Lineage: Bacteria
Description: bacterial SSU rRNA
Rfam family: Bacterial small subunit ribosomal RNA
Source: RNAcentral